This 107-nucleotide non-coding RNA is filed under the name Peptoniphilus asaccharolyticus. RNAcentral's name for it is "Glycine sequence". It matches the Rfam family "Glycine riboswitch aptamer". From Rfam's summary of the family: This family represents the bacterial glycine riboswitch. Lineage: Bacteria; Bacillati; Bacillota; Tissierellia; Tissierellales; Peptoniphilaceae. The record is from RNAcentral.
GAUCAUUACUCUGGAGAAGUCUUACCACAGCACUAGGUAAGAUGCCGAAGGUGCAACACUGCUAAAAACAGUGAAAUCUCUCAGGCAAAAGGGACAGAGAUGCGGAA